UGGGGAAUAUUGCACAAUGGGCGCAAGCCUGAUGCAGCCAUGCCGCGUGUGUGAAGAAGGCCUUCGGGUUGUAAAGCACUUUCAGCGGGGAGGAAGGCGAUAAGGUUAAUAACCUUGUCGAUUGACGUUACCCGCAGAAGAAGCACCGGCUAACUCCGUGCCAGCAGCCGCGGUAAUACGGAGGGUGCAAGCGUUAAUCGGAAUUACUGGGCGUAAAGCGCACGCAGGCGGUCUGUCAAGUCGGAUGUGAAAUCCCCGGGCUCAACCUGGGAACUGCAUUCGAAACUGGUCAGCUAGAGUCUUGUAGAGGGGGGUAGAAUUCCAUGUGUAGCGGUGAAAUGCGUAGAGAUGUGGAGGAAUACCGGUGGCGAAGGCGGCCCCCUGGACAAAGACUGACGCUCAGGUGCGAAAGCGUGGGGAGCAAACAGG
This 429-nucleotide ribosomal RNA is filed under the name Chloroflexota bacterium. RNAcentral describes it as "Chloroflexi bacterium partial 16S ribosomal RNA". It matches the Rfam family "Bacterial small subunit ribosomal RNA", at positions 355 to 776 of the family's 1533-position model. The record is from RNAcentral. Lineage: Bacteria; Bacillati; Chloroflexota.